RNAcentral lists this ribosomal RNA (261 nucleotides) under uncultured bacterium. Its description in RNAcentral is "partial 16S ribosomal RNA". It matches the Rfam family "Bacterial small subunit ribosomal RNA", at positions 793 to 1055 of the family's 1533-position model. The record is from RNAcentral.
GUCCAUGCCGUAAACGUUGGGAACUAGGUGUGGGUCUCAUUCCACGAGAUCCGUGCCGCAGCUAACGCAUUAAGUUCCCCGCCUGGGGAGUACGGCCGCAAGGCUAAAACUCAAAGGAAUUGACGGGGCCCGCACAAGCGGCGGAGCAUGUGGAUUAAUUCGAUGCAACGCGAAGAACCUUACCAAGGCUUGACAUAUACCGGAAACAUCCAGAGAUGGGUGCCCCGCAAGGUCGGUAUACAGGUGGUGCAUGGUUGUCGU